Molecule: ribosomal RNA, 115 nt
Filed under: Candidatus Dadabacteria bacterium
Lineage: Bacteria; Pseudomonadati; Thermodesulfobacteriota; Candidatus Dadabacteria
Source: RNAcentral
UCCGGUGGCUAUAGCGGAGGGGACCCACCCGUUCCCAUCCCGAACACGGAAGUUAAGCCCUCCAGCGCCGAUGGUACUGCGCCGUGAAGCGUGGGAGAGUAGGUCGCUGCCGGAA